AGAGUUUGAUCCUGGCUCAGGACGAACGCUGGCGGCGUGCCUAAUACAUGCAAGUAGAACGCUGAAGGAGGAGCUUGCUUCUCUGGAUGAGUUGCGAACGGGUGAGUAACGCGUAGGUAACCUGCCUGGUAGCGGGGGAUAACUAUUGGAAACGAUAGCUAAUACCGCAUAAGAGUGGAUGUUGCAUGACAUUUGCUUAAAAGGUGCACUUGCAUCACUACCAGAUGGACCUGCGUUGUAUUAGCUAGUUGGUGGGGUAACGGCUCACCAAGGCGACGAUACAUAGCCGACCUGAGAGGGUGAUCGGCCACACUGGGACUGAGACACGGCCCAGACUCCUACGGGAGGCAGCAGUAGGGAAUCUUCGGCAAUGGACGGAAGUCUGACCGAGCAACGCCGCGUGAGUGAAGAAGGUUUUCGGAUCGUAAAGCUCUGUUGUAAGAGAAGAACGAGUGUGAGAGUGGAAAGUUCACACUGUGACGGUAUCUUACCAGAAAGGGACGGCUAACUACGUGCCAGCAGCCGCGGUAAUACGUAGGUCCCGAGCGUUGUCCGGAUUUAUUGGGCGUAAAGCGAGCGCAGGCGGUUAGAUAAGUCUGAAGUUAAAGGCUGUGGCUUAACCAUAGUAGGCUUUGGAAACUGUUUAACUUGAGUGCAAGAGGGGAGAGUGGAAUUCCAUGUGUAGCGGUGAAAUGCGUAGAUAUAUGGAGGAACACCGGUGGCGAAAGCGGCUCUCUGGCUUGUAACUGACGCUGAGGCUCGAAAGCGUGGGGAGCAAACAGGAUUAGAUACCCUGGUAGUCCACGCUGUAAACGAUGAGUGCUAGGUGUUAGACCCUUUCCGGGGUUUAGUGCCGUAGCUAACGCAUUAAGCACUCCGCCUGGGGAGUACGACCGCAAGGUUGAAACUCAAAGGAAUUGACGGGGGCCCGCACAAGCGGUGGGGCAUGUGGUUUAAUUCGAAGCAACGCGAAGAACCUUACCAGGUCUUGACAUCCCUCUGACCGCUCUAGAGAUAGAGUUUUCCUUCGGGACAGAGGUGACAGGUGGUGCAUGGUUGUCGUCAGCUCGUGUCGUGAGAUGUUGGGUUAAGUCCCGCAACGAGCGCAACCCCUAUUGUUAGUUGCCAUCAUUUAGUUGGGCACUCUAGCGAGACUGCCGGUAAUAAACCGGAGGAAGGUGGGGAUGACGUCAAAUCAUCAUGCCCCUUAUGACCUGGGCUACACACGUGCUACAAUGGCUGGUACAACGAGUCGCAAGCCGGUGACGGCAAGCUAAUCUCUUAAAGCCAGUCUCAGUUCGGAUUGUAGGCUGCAACUCGCCUACAUGAAGUCGGAAUCGCUAGUAAUCGCGGAUCAGCACGCCGCGGUGAAUACGUUCCCGGGCCUUGUACACACCGCCCGUCACACCACGAGAGUUUGUAACACCCGAAGUCGGUGAGGUAACCGUAAGGAGCCAGCCGCCUAAGGUGGGAUAGAUGAUUGGGGUGAAGUCGUAACAAGGUAGCCGUAUCGGAAGGUGCGGCUGGAUCACCU
RNAcentral lists this ribosomal RNA (1534 nucleotides) under Streptococcus pneumoniae. RNAcentral's name for it is "bacterial SSU rRNA". It matches the Rfam family "Bacterial small subunit ribosomal RNA". The record is from RNAcentral. Lineage: Bacteria; Bacillati; Bacillota; Bacilli; Lactobacillales; Streptococcaceae.